Long non-coding RNA from Mycetomoellerius zeteki, 644 nucleotides. RefSeq lists it as uncharacterized. Lineage: Eukaryota; Metazoa; Arthropoda; Insecta; Hymenoptera; Formicidae. The record is from RefSeq and is a predicted model, not a curated record. The transcript is spliced from 3 exons.
UAUAAUAAAUGAUGGCAGAUUUUUGACCGGCGCUCUGUAUAAGACAAAAUAUAAAAAUCAGUAAAGACUCCCCCGCGUUUUGCAGAUUACUCUCUUUGAUUUUCAUUGGUGGUUCCAUUUGAAUGGCAGUUAUCGUUGGUGUACUGGCGAUUGAUCAGGAUUGAUCGAUCGAGAUCACGCUGGGUGACAUUGUUCUCAGCUCGUUUAAAAUGCAGUUUAUUAUAGACUUUUUCGUGUCGCGCGAUCGUAGGAACGACUCUUCCUAAAACGUUUGUGCGACGUCGAUAUCAGAACUUCCGCACUUAAUUAAACGCGAUCGGACGACUGUCGGUUCACGAUGACGUUCGAGGCAAUUUUAUUUCUUUUAUUAUAGGCAAAAACUUGAAAACGAGUUUAGCACAGCUAAGUGUGGCGCGCGAAGAGCGCGGAUUCUCAAGUAUUACGCGAUUUGGCAGUCAUCUUAAUUACAAUAAUUAAUUACUUUAUACAACAAUAGCUUGCGUCGAGUGCCUGCCUAUUAUGUAUCUUCUAUUGCAAGAAUUACGAGUAUUCGAGACUUUCUUUCCUUCCACAUUGCCGCGGAAACGCACGUACACGCGUAUGUGUAUAUGUGUGUGUGUAUGUGCGUGCGUGUGUGUGUGUAU